UGCCAGCCGCCGCGGUAACACGGGGGGCGCAAGCGUUAUUCGGAAUUAUUGGGCGUAAAGGGCGCGUAGGCGGUCUUGUCCGUCAGGUGUGAAAGCUCGGGGCUCAACCCCGGAAGUGCACUUGAAACAGCAAGACUUGAAUACGGUAGAGGAGAGAGGAAUUCCUGGUGUAGCGGUGAAAUGCGUAGAGAUCUGAAGGAACAUCAGUGGCGAAGGCGACUACCUGGACUGAUAUUGACGCUGAGGUGCGAAAGCGUGGGGAGCAAACAGGAUUAGAUA
RNAcentral lists this ribosomal RNA (279 nucleotides) under uncultured bacterium. RNAcentral's name for it is "partial 16S ribosomal RNA". It matches the Rfam family "Bacterial small subunit ribosomal RNA", at positions 506 to 784 of the family's 1533-position model. The record is from RNAcentral.